AUUGAACGCUGGCGGCAUGCCUUACACAUGCAAGUCGAGCGGCAGCACGGGUGCUUGCACCUGGUGGCGAGUGGCGAACGGGUGAGUAAUACAUCGGAACAUGUCCUGUAGUGGGGGAUAGCCCGGCGAAAGCCGGAUUAAUACCGCAUACGAUCUACGGAUGAAAGCGGGGGACCUUCGGGCCUCGCGCUAUAGGGUUGGCCGAUGGCUGAUUAGCUAGUUGGUGGGGUAAAGGCCUACCAAGGCGACGAUCAGUAGCUGGCCUGAGAGGACGACCAGCCACACUGGGACUGAGACACGGCCCAGACUCCUACGGGAGGCAGCAGUGGGGAAUUUUGGACAAUGGGCGAAAGCCUGAUCCAGCAAUGCCGCGUGUGUGAAGAAGGCCUUCGGGUUGUAAAGCACUUUUGUCCGGAAAGAAAUCCUUGGCCCUAAUACGGUCGGGGGAUGACGGUACCGGAAGAAUAAGCACCGGCUAACUACGUG
This 486-nucleotide ribosomal RNA is filed under the name uncultured bacterium. Its description in RNAcentral is "partial 16S ribosomal RNA". It matches the Rfam family "Bacterial small subunit ribosomal RNA", at positions 30 to 507 of the family's 1533-position model. The record is from RNAcentral.